RNAcentral lists this ribosomal RNA (253 nucleotides) under uncultured bacterium. RNAcentral's name for it is "partial 16S ribosomal RNA". It matches the Rfam family "Bacterial small subunit ribosomal RNA", at positions 524 to 776 of the family's 1533-position model. The record is from RNAcentral.
UACAGAGGGGGCAAGCGUUGUUCGGAAUUACUGGGCGUAAAGGGCUCGUAGGCGGCCAACUAAGUCAUACGUGAAAUCCCUCAGCUUAACUGGGGAACUGCGUGUGAUACUGGAUGGCUUGGAUUUGGGAGAGGGAUGCGGAAUUCCAGGUGUAGCGGUGAAAUGCGUAGAUAUCUGGAGGAACACCGGUGGCGAAGGCGGCUCUCUGGACCACAACUGACGCUGAGGCGCGAAAGCUAGGGGAGCAAACAGG